Non-coding RNA from Vicia faba (fava bean), 231 nucleotides. The record is from the annotation of a GenBank genome assembly. Lineage: Eukaryota; Viridiplantae; Streptophyta; Magnoliopsida; Fabales; Fabaceae.
AUGAAGAGUGAUUGUGUCGCAAUUGUUGUGUUGUUCGAUGGGUAUUUUGUGAGGCUAGCGGCGAAUUUGAAGGUUGAGGACGCUCCAUUUCCCAACACUCGCUACAAACUCAGUGAAGCAUUACAGGAUAUUCUGAAGCAACUUGAAGUAUGGAGAAGACCUGACCAUAUGGAGCUUUUUCUUGCCCCAGUUUGCUGGAUCUCUGAAGGAAAUUUCCUCAAAAGAAGUUGA